UGCCUGUUUGAAGAUAGUGAGUUAUCUCAAAUGAUUGCUCAAUUACAGGUUGAACUCCUUGUUCAACUCUUUCCCCACUUCUCACUACUGCACUUGACCAGUCAAAA
Unclassified non-coding RNA from Nomascus leucogenys (northern white-cheeked gibbon), 107 nucleotides. It matches the Rfam family "Y RNA". From Rfam's summary of the family: Y RNAs are components of the Ro ribonucleoprotein particle (Ro RNP), in association with Ro60 and La proteins. The record is from Ensembl. NCBI's taxonomy places the organism in Eukaryota, Metazoa, Chordata, Mammalia, Primates, Hylobatidae.